Molecule: long non-coding RNA, 347 nt
Organism: Macrobrachium nipponense
Lineage: Eukaryota; Metazoa; Arthropoda; Malacostraca; Decapoda; Palaemonidae
Exons: 2
Source: RefSeq, a predicted model, not a curated record
AUAUUUGUCGAGGAAUGCUGUGCUGCCAUCUCUUGUUUAUAUUUUCACUCCAUGGACUAAAGAAGUUAUUUCUUUAUUUGGUUGUCCUUGUUUUUGUCGAGGAAUGCUGUGCUGCCAUCUCUUGUGUAUCUUUUCACUCCAUGGACUAAAGAAGUUAUUUGUUUAUUUGGUUGUCCUUGUUUGAUUUUGUUUUCUUAACAUGGAGAGUCCCCGGCAUUUCUCUAAUCACUACCUGACACCUAGCCACCCGUAACAAACUCCUUUGACCUUGGUCAGUCUUCUCCAUUCUUGAUCCUAGACUCUAGACUAUUGGUCCUUGGAUCUUAUUUCAUCUUAAGACGCUCCUG